UACGUAGGAUCCGAGCGUUGUCCGGAUUUACUGGGUGUAAAGGGCGUGUAGGUGGACCUUUAAGUCGAUGGUGAAAUCCUGCGGCUCAACCGCAGAAUUGCUUUCGAAACUGGAGGUCUUGAGUGCGGCAGAGGGAGAUGGAAUUCAUGGUGUAGCGGUGAAAUGUGUAGAUAUCAUGAAGAACACCGGUAGCGAAGGCGGUCUCCUGGUCCGCAACUGACACUGAGGCGCGAAAGCGUGGGGAGCAAACAGG
RNAcentral lists this ribosomal RNA (253 nucleotides) under uncultured bacterium. RNAcentral's name for it is "partial 16S ribosomal RNA". It matches the Rfam family "Bacterial small subunit ribosomal RNA", at positions 524 to 776 of the family's 1533-position model. The record is from RNAcentral.